CCUACGGGUGGCUGCAGUGGGGAAUAUUGCACAAUGGGGGAAACCCUGAUGCAGCGACGCCGCGUGAGUGAAGAAGUAUUUCGGUAUGUAAAGCUCUAUCAGCAGGGAAGAAGCAAGACGGUACCUGACUAAGAAGCCCCGGCUAACUACGUGCCAGCAGCCGCGGUAAUACGUAGGGGGCAAGCGUUAUCCGGAUUUACUGGGUGUAAAGGGAGCGUAGACGGUAUGGCAAGUCUGAAGUGAAAGUCCAGGGCUUAACCCUGGGACUGCUUUGGAAACUGUUAGACUAGAGUGCUGGAGAGGUAAGUGGAAUUCCUAGUGUAGCGGUGAAAUGCGUAGAUAUUAGGAGGAACACCAGUGGCGAAGGCGGCUUACUGGACAGUAACUGACGUUGAGGCUCGAAAGCGUGGGGAGCAAACAGGAUUAGAUACCCUGGUAGUC
This 441-nucleotide ribosomal RNA is filed under the name uncultured bacterium. Its description in RNAcentral is "partial 16S ribosomal RNA". It matches the Rfam family "Bacterial small subunit ribosomal RNA", at positions 338 to 795 of the family's 1533-position model. The record is from RNAcentral.